UACGUAGGGUGCAAGCGUUAUUCGGAAUCAUUGGGCGUAAAGCGCGCGCAGGCGGAUUGAUAAGUCAGGUGUGAAAUCUCGAGGCUCAACCUCGAAACUGCGCCUGAAACUAUUAGUCUAGAAUGUCGGAGGGGGCAGGGGAAUUUCACGUGUAGGGGUAAAAUCCGUAGAGAUGUGAAGGAACACCGGAGGCGAAGGCGCCUGCCUGGACGACUAUUGACGCUGAGGCGCGAAAGCGUGGGGAGCAAACAGG
Molecule: ribosomal RNA, 253 nt
Filed under: uncultured bacterium
Lineage: Bacteria
Description: partial 16S ribosomal RNA
Rfam family: Bacterial small subunit ribosomal RNA
Source: RNAcentral